UACGUAGGGUGCGAGCGUUGUCCGGAAUUAUUGGGCGUAAAGAGCUCGUAGGCGGUGUGUCGCGUCGGCCGUGAAAACCUGGGGCUCAACUCUGGGCGUGCGGUCGAUACGGGCAUCACUUGAGUUCGGCAGGGGAGACUGGAACUCCUGGUGUAGCGGUGAAAUGCGCAGAUAUCAGGAGGAACACCGGUGGCGAAGGCGGUCUGCUGGGCAGUUGCUGACACUGAGGCGCGACAGCGUGGGGAGCAAACAGG
This 254-nucleotide ribosomal RNA is filed under the name uncultured bacterium. Its description in RNAcentral is "partial 16S ribosomal RNA". It matches the Rfam family "Bacterial small subunit ribosomal RNA", at positions 524 to 776 of the family's 1533-position model. The record is from RNAcentral.